CGGACGGGUGAGUAAUGUCUGGGAAACUGCCUGAUGGAGGGGGAUAACUACUGGAAACGGUAGCUAAUACCGCAUAACGCCGCAAGACCAAAGAGGGGGACCUUAGGGCCUCUUGCCAUCGGAUGUGCCCAGAUGGGAUUAGCUAGUAGGUGGGGUAACGGCUCACCUAGGCGACGAUCCCUAGCUGGUCUGAGAGGAUGACCAGCCACACUGGAACUGAGACACGGUCCAG
RNAcentral lists this ribosomal RNA (232 nucleotides) under uncultured bacterium. Its description in RNAcentral is "partial 16S ribosomal RNA". It matches the Rfam family "Bacterial small subunit ribosomal RNA", at positions 99 to 334 of the family's 1533-position model. The record is from RNAcentral.